GACGAACGCUGGCGGCAUGCCUAAUACAUGCAAGUCGAGCGAACAGAUGAAGUGCUUGCACUUCUGACGUUAGCGGCGAACGGGUGAGUAACACGUAAGGAAUCUACCUAUAAGCGGGGGAUAACAUUCGGAAACGGGUGCUAAUACCGCAUAAUAUCUUCUUCCGCAUGGAAGAAGAUUGAAAGACGGCUCUGCUGUCACUUAUAGAUGACCUUGCGGUGCAUUAGUUAGUUGGUGGGGUAACGGCCUACCGAGACGAUGAUGCAUAGCCGACCUGAGAGGGUGAGCGGCCACAUUGGGACUGAGACACGGCCCAAACUCCUACGGGAGGCAGCAGUAGGGAAUCUUCCGCAAUGGGCGAAGGCCUGACGGAGCAAUGCCGCGUGAGUGAAGAAGGCCUUCGGGUCGUAAAACUCUGUUAUAAGAGAAGAACAAAUUGUAGAGUAACUGCUACAGUCUUGACGGUAUCUUAUCAGAAAGCCACGGCUAACUACGUGCCAGCAGCCGCAGUAA
RNAcentral lists this ribosomal RNA (513 nucleotides) under uncultured bacterium. Its description in RNAcentral is "partial 16S ribosomal RNA". It matches the Rfam family "Bacterial small subunit ribosomal RNA", at positions 28 to 523 of the family's 1533-position model. The record is from RNAcentral.